RNAcentral lists this ribosomal RNA (253 nucleotides) under uncultured bacterium. RNAcentral's name for it is "partial 16S ribosomal RNA". It matches the Rfam family "Bacterial small subunit ribosomal RNA", at positions 524 to 776 of the family's 1533-position model. The record is from RNAcentral.
UACAGAGGGUGCGAGCGUUAAUCGGAAUUACUGGGCGUAAAGCGCGCGUAGGCGGCUUUGCAAGUCGGGUGUGAAAUCCCCAGGCUUAACCUGGGAACUGCGUCUGAUACUGGAGGGCUUGAGUAUGGGAGAGGGAUGUAGAAUUCCAGGUGUAGCGGUGAAAUGCGUAGAUAUCUGGAGGAAUACCGGUGGCGAAGGCGGCAUCCUGGACCAUUACUGACGCUGAGGCGCGAAAGCUAGGGGAGCAAACGGG